AUUGGAGAUUGGAAGACAGACCGAAGGAGAGAUAAUUUGGGGAUUUUACUGUACUAGAGCUGGGGAAAGAUAGAGUGCUUUCCAAAAGUACCCUAUAGUACAGCAGGUAAUGUUUCCAAGUUCCUAAUUUCUCUCAUACCUACAUUUAUAACGGGAUGAUUAGCUAUCAUUUAUCACGGAGUGCCUUUGGAGUUAAGUAGUGUAGUAG
Molecule: long non-coding RNA, 208 nt
Filed under: Oryza brachyantha (malo sina)
Lineage: Eukaryota; Viridiplantae; Streptophyta; Magnoliopsida; Poales; Poaceae
Description: long non-coding RNA (OBRA_LNC003139)
Source: RNAcentral